GACGAACGCUGGCGGCGUGCCUAAUACAUGCAAGUCGAACGAACCGCGACUAAGUGCUUGCACUAAGUCAAGGUGAGUGGCGAACGGGUGAGUAACACGUGGGUAACCUACCUCAUAGUGGGGGAUAACAGUCGGAAACGACUGCUAAUACCGCAUAGGACAUAGGAUCACAUGAUCCAGUGAGGAAAGGUGGCGCAAGCUAUCGCUAAGAGAUGGACCCGCGAUGCAUUAGCUAGUUGGUAGGGUAAAGGCCUACCAAGGCGAUGAUGCAUAGCCGACCUGAGAGGGUGAUCGGCCACAUUGGGACUGAGACACGGCCCAAACUCCUACGGGAGGCAGCAGUAGGGAAUCUUCCGCAAUGGACGCAAGUCUGACGGAGCAACGCCGCGUGAGUGAAGAAGGUCUUCGGAUCGUAAAGCUCUGUUGUUAGAGAAGAACAGCGCAUAGAGUAACUGCUAUGCGUGUGACGGUAUCUAACCAGAAAGCCACGGCUAACUACGUG
This 502-nucleotide ribosomal RNA is filed under the name uncultured bacterium. RNAcentral's name for it is "partial 16S ribosomal RNA". It matches the Rfam family "Bacterial small subunit ribosomal RNA", at positions 28 to 507 of the family's 1533-position model. The record is from RNAcentral.